AACGAACGCUGGCGGCAGGCCGAACACAGGCAAGGCGAAAGAGACCGCCGGGGCGAGGGGCGCAGGGGGGGGGAACGCGGGGGAAGGAGAAAGGAGGGAAGGAAGAAAGGAGCGAAAGGGGGGCGAAGAAAGGAGAAGGGCAGCGGACCAAAGAGGGACCGCCUUAGGGUGGGCCCUCGGGGGAUUGGCCGGUUGGUAGGGUAAAAGCCGGCAAAGGCGUCGUGCCAGAGCUGGUCUGAGAGGAUGAUUAGCCACACUGGGACUGAGACACGGCCCAGACUCCUACGGGAGGCCGCAGUGGGGAAUAUUGGACAAUGGGCGAAAGCCUGAUCCAGCAAUGCCGCGUGUGUGCUGCCGGCCUUAGGGUUGUAAAGCGCUUUUACCCGGGAUGUUAAUGACAGUACCGGGAGAAUAAGCUCCGGCUAACUCCGUG
This 433-nucleotide ribosomal RNA is filed under the name uncultured bacterium. RNAcentral describes it as "partial 16S ribosomal RNA". It matches the Rfam family "Bacterial small subunit ribosomal RNA", at positions 29 to 507 of the family's 1533-position model. The record is from RNAcentral.